This 494-nucleotide ribosomal RNA is filed under the name uncultured bacterium. RNAcentral describes it as "partial 16S ribosomal RNA". It matches the Rfam family "Bacterial small subunit ribosomal RNA", at positions 28 to 507 of the family's 1533-position model. The record is from RNAcentral.
GACGAACGCUGGCGGCGCGCUUAACACAUGCAAGUCGAACGGAAAGGCCUGCUUUCCCUUGUGGAUUGCGGGUACUCGAGUGGCGAACGGGUGAGUAACACGUGAGUGAUCUGCCCCCAACUUGGGUAUAAGCCUGGGAAACUGGGUCUAAUUCCCGAUAGGACUGCAGGGUGGUGCCUGUGGUGGAAAACGAUUUUCUAGUGGUCGGGGAUGAGCUCGCGGCCUAUCAGCUUGUUGGUGGGGUAAUGGCCUACCAAGGCGGCGACGGGUAGCCGGCCUGAGAGGGUGGACGGCCACAUUGGGACUGAGAUACGGCCCAGACUCCUACGGGAGGCAGCAGUGGGGAAUAUUGCACAAUGGGCGGAAGCCUGAUGCAGCGACGCCGCGUGGGGGAUGACGGCCUUCGGGUUGUAAACUCCUUUCGACCGCGAGGAAGCCACCUGGUUGGAAGGGUGGUGACGGUAGUGGUAGAAGAAGCACCGGCUAACUACGUG